RNAcentral lists this ribosomal RNA (497 nucleotides) under uncultured bacterium. RNAcentral's name for it is "partial 16S ribosomal RNA". It matches the Rfam family "Bacterial small subunit ribosomal RNA", at positions 28 to 507 of the family's 1533-position model. The record is from RNAcentral.
GACGAACGCUGGCGGCGUGCCUAAUACAUGCAAGUUGAGCGAUGAAGAUUGGUGCUUGCACCAAUUUGAAGAGCAGCGAACGGGUGAGUAACGCGUGGGGAAUCUGCCUUUGAGCGGGGGACAACAUUUGGAAACGAAUGCUAAUACCGCAUAACAACUUUAAACAUAAGUUUUAAGUUUGAAAGAUGCAAUUGCAUCACUCAAAGAUGAUCCCGCGUUGUAUUAGCUAGUUGGUGAGGUAAAGGCUCACCAAGGCGAUGAUACAUAGCCGACCUGAGAGGGUGAUCGGCCACAUUGGGACUGAGACACGGCCCAAACUCCUACGGGAGGCAGCAGUAGGGAAUCUUCAGCAAUAGACGAAAGUCUGACCGAGCAACGCCGCGUGAGUGAAGAAGGUUUUCGGAUCGUAAAACUCUGUUGGUAGAGAAGAACGUUGGUGAGAGUGGAAAGCUCAUCAAGUGACGGUAACUACCCAGAAAGGGACGGCUAACUACGUG